UGGGGAAUCUUGGACAAUGGGCGCAAGCCUGAUCCAGCCAUGCCGCGUGAGUGAAGAAGGCCUUCGGGUUGUAAAGCUCUUUUACCAGGGACGAUAAUGACGGUACCUGGAGAAUAAGCCCCGGCAAACUUCGUGCCAGCAGCCGCGGUAAUACGAAGGGGGCUAGCGUUGUUCGGAAUUACUGGGCGUAAAGCGCACGUAGGCGGAUUGUUAAGUCAGAGGUGAAAUCCCGGAGCUCAACUUCGGAACUGCCUUUGAUACUGGCAAUCUAGAGUCCGGAAGAGGUUAGUGGAAUUCCCGGUGUAGCGGUGAAAUGCGUAGAUAUUGGGAAGAACACCAGUGGCGAAGGCGGCUUACUGGUCCGAUACUGACGCUGAGGCGCGAAAGCGUGGGGAGCAAACAGGAUUAGAUACCCACGUAGUCCCUGAGCGGGCUGGCAAGGCGCAU
Molecule: ribosomal RNA, 447 nt
Filed under: uncultured bacterium
Lineage: Bacteria
Description: bacterial SSU rRNA
Rfam family: Bacterial small subunit ribosomal RNA
Source: RNAcentral